GCGAAUUCUAGUCAACCGCCAGUCUCCUCAGAGUCUUAGCCUCUGAUCCUUAGUGAUGCUGGGUUCAUGUCUGUCUCAUUGCCUAUGUUUUUGUGAAAUACAGAUGAAAACAAAAGUAUCAACAAAGGACCACCAGGAUCACAGAGCCAAAAUGAAUUAAAGUCAUCCAUGCGUGGGUAGUGUGUCGGCCUCAUGCAGUACUGAGAAUAGUUAACAGAAGUAGACCAAAUCCAAAGCUAGGUUGCUACUAAUUUUGGAGUAAAAUGAUUUGAUGAUAUGUAUGACAUAAUG
This 291-nucleotide long non-coding RNA is filed under the name Bos taurus (domestic cattle). RNAcentral describes it as "long non-coding RNA NONBTAT007298". Lineage: Eukaryota; Metazoa; Chordata; Mammalia; Artiodactyla; Bovidae. The record is from RNAcentral.